Penaeus chinensis is the source of this 3144-nucleotide RNA transcript. It is a transcript of the gene named gastrula zinc finger protein XlCGF57.1-like, with no coding region annotated. The record is from RefSeq and is a predicted model, not a curated record. NCBI's taxonomy places the organism in Eukaryota, Metazoa, Arthropoda, Malacostraca, Decapoda, Penaeidae. The transcript is spliced from 5 exons.
CCCAACCACAGUGGUAACCACCAGGCGACAGUUGUGAGGCACAAUUUCACCUGACCCAAGGAAACCAGGCAUGGCACGGAUUUACAUAACAGAGAACUGUAUGCGCAUUCUAAUCAGAAAGAAUAGUUUGCCGAGACAGUUCCUGGUGUAAACAACUAAAAGAUUAGCCUCCAAUCUUCAUGUGAAGAAGCCCUUUCCGUAAAAGGUUGACAACUCUUUGUGAAGGCAAUAAGAAGAAGACUAAGCUCCCACGGCCACAAUUAUCAAACAGUCUUCGAUCCUGUGGUAUUCAGUGAAGGUUAUUCUGCGAGUAGUAAACAAGUGUCUGCCUGAUUAUUGGCCAAAUAUAGAACGCCUCCCGACAUACAAAUUGACUGGCAGUGCCACUCAUCAUGGCCUGCCCUGGCUUGGCCAGAGUCUGCUCUGAGCAAAUGUCGUUCAUUUGCAGGCCGAAGAUACUUUUUUUUUACCCAUUUCCUUUUUGUAUCAGCUUUCUCUCUGUAUUUUGGUUGAAGUAAAGUUUCAUACUUUUAAACUUUAGAUUCUUAUAACUAAAUUUGGAGUAUAAUUGAAAAUAAUUUGGCUCCUGGUCAUUUUGCCCAGCAUCUAGUACCACCAAUUGGAAAAGAUGAUUGACCAACUUUUCCUGUGCAGAGGAGUCUUUGUUGAAUGGAUGAUCUCUGGAGGCAACAUGUGCGACAAUAACUUCAGGAUGCAGUUCAGCAGCAGCUUGGGAGAAGAGGUAUACAUCAAGGAAGAAAAGGACCUGCAUGCUGAUCAGGAGCCAUUUAGCAACAUGGGAUGUAAGGUCUUCAUCAAAGAAGAAAGUGACUUGUGCAUAAAGGAAGAGAAUCAGUAUUAUGAAGAAUGGUCAGAAAUUGAUCAACCUUAUCUUGCAAAUGAUGAUGACUGUGUGAUUAAGAGUGAGGAGUUACCCAUUAUGGCCCCAAUAGCUGUUGAGGGUUUCUUUUGCCAUUUUUGUGGAGAAGGAUUUGUAACAGAAACAAGUCUGGCUGUCCACAUCCAAACACAUGUAGGGUUAAAAUUCUUUGGUUGUGAAGUGUGUGGUAAAAGAUUUGCAAUGAAAAGUCACCUGACAUUACAUGCAAAAGUACACACUAAAGAGAAACCUUAUUGCUGUGAGAUCUGCUCCCUAAGAUUUUUGCAGAAACGUGCACUCCUAUCACACAUGAGACUGCAUGCUGCAAUUAAAACUUUUACAUGUGAAGUGUGUAGUAAGACAUACCACCACAGAAGCCAUUUAGUCAGUCACAUGAGAGCACAUUCAGAUGAGAGACCAUUUAGCUGUGAGGUAUGUGACAAAAAGUUUUCACAGAAAGGUCAUCUUACUCGGCAUGCAGUAAUUCAUGCUCCAGUGAAACCUGUGGAUAAUGGUGUUCAGAUGAAGGCAGUGAAUGGUCAUGUGCAAAUGAUAUCUGUGAAAAGUGAUGUGGAAUUGUUGUCUGUGAAGAGUGAUUUGCAGUUAUUAUCAGUGAAGAGUGAAAUGCCAAAUGAACUGUUGUCUUUAAAAGAGCAGAAAUCUUACACAUGUGAUGUUUGUAGCAAAAUCUUCUUACAGAAAGGAUGUCUGGUAAAGCAUAUGAGAGUACACACAGGAGAGAAACCUUUUAGUUGCGACGUUUGUAGUGAAAAAUUUUCUCGGAAAAGUACCCUGGUGAGACAUAUUAGAAUUCACACAGGAGAGAAGCCCCAUUCCUGUGAAAUUUGUACAGAGAAAUUUUCAACGAAAUAUACACUAGUGCGGCACAGGAGGUGUCAUACAGGAGAAAAACCUCAUACUUGUGAGCUGUGUGGCAAGAAAUUUACAAACAAGAGUAAUUUAGUAAUUCAUAUGAGGGUACAUACUGGGGAGAGGCCAUACAGCUGUGAAGUGUGUCAUGAAAGAUUCUCUCAAAGAAGUAGCUUGGUAAUGCACAUGAGAGGGCACACAGGAGAAAAACCUUAUAGCUGUGAGGUGUGUGGGGAAAGAUAUUCACAUAAAGGUAAUUUAGUAGUUCAUAUGAGGGUCCACACAGGGGAAAGACCUUACAGAUGUACAGUAUGUGGAGAGAAAUUCUCACAGAGAAGUAGUUUGAUGAUGCAUAUGAGAAUACAUAGAAGGGAAUAAAAAUUUGUUUGUGAUUAUUUAUGGUUGAUGACUAGUCUAGUGCUUUUGGUCAGACCAAUAUACACUGGUGGAAGUCACUCAGUCAACCUUAUAAUUAGAACUUAGGGAAUGUUGUUCAUAAGAAAAAAAAAAAGAAAGCAAAGAAUUAGUGUCGGGGAAUUUUGGAUAUUUGGAUAUCUCGGUGAUAUUAACACUUUAAAGAGAAUGUCAUUAUUCAAGCUGAAAAAUCUUUAUUUCUCACCAAAAGAUUCAUCAGCCGUUUGAAAGCAACAUACCAGCUUCCCUCGCAGUAGGCCUAAUACCCCACAAGCCCAGAGGCCUGUGCCCCAAAUGUCUGCCCAUGUUGCUGCUCCACCAAACACAAAGGGAAGUUUCCUGUGCAUUCGAUGUCUGCCGUCGAGCCGUCGAGCAAGAAGGAAGUCACAGCAGCAACAGUCGCCGAAAGUACUGGAGCUUCGCCCUCCGCAUCGAAUUAUUUACCGAUUUCCCGUUUUUAGGGGCUUUAUGAAUUUUAAGGAAACACUUUAGUAACACUAACUUUAUAUUUUCGGUGUUCCAGGAUAUAAGAACCGGAAUCAUGGUGUAUUAUAAUAAACUUUCACAUACACAGCCAUAUCUGAGAACCUUCCCUCCCAAUCCCUUGCUCAUUGUUGUCGUCUUAGGAGACGGGGACUGAGGCCCAAUGUAGGGGAUCGCCCCUGCCUUGGCCUUCAGUCUUCGCCUCAACUGCAUGGUCUUCCCUUCUUUCCUUUUUCUUUUCUUCAUCUUCUUCUGUCCACUUCUCCUUAUCGUUUACUAAUUUUUACCCUUUUCGCCACAACACCUUUUCAUAAUGCCAUAUGACCUUUGAUGUCUGGCACAUAUAUUUGUUUUGACCAUUAACCGUAUUGGAAUUCACUAACAUCGCCUCGUGAACCAAAAAAUCUUCCUUACCUGGGGACUUCGCCCCCAAGCCUCACCCUUUUGCCAUAUUUAGAAUGCGCCGCUAGUGACAUGAUUUUAAAUAAAUGAAUAAA